This 217-nucleotide unclassified non-coding RNA is filed under the name rhizosphere metagenome. RNAcentral's name for it is "partial ribosomal RNA internal transcribed spacer region". The record is from RNAcentral.
GUAGGUGAACCUGCGGAAGGAUCACUAGUGAUUAAAUCGAGAGCGUCUUCAUUGACCUCUCACCCUUCACAUCCACAUACACCUGUGCACCGUUUGGCUCUUUUAAAAGACGUAAGUCUGCAAAGAGAGUCAUCAAUUUUAUACAUACCCCAGUCUUAUGAAUGUAACAGUUUUAAUAAACAAAAUAAAACUUUUAACAACGGAUCUCUUGGUUCUC